Molecule: ribosomal RNA, 460 nt
Filed under: uncultured bacterium
Lineage: Bacteria
Description: partial 16S ribosomal RNA
Rfam family: Bacterial small subunit ribosomal RNA
Source: RNAcentral
CCUACGGGAGGCUGCAGUGAGGAAUAUUGGUCAAUGGGCGCGAGCCUGAACCAGCCAAGUAGCGUGAAGGAUGACUGCCCUACGGGUUGUAAACCUCUUUUAUAAAGGAAUAAAGUGAGGCACGUGUCCCUUUUUGAGAGUACUUUAUGAAAAAGGAUCGGCUAACUCCGUGCCAGCAGCCGCGGUAAUACGGAGGAUCCGAGCGUUAUCCGGAUUUAUUGGGUUUAAAGGGAGCGUAGAUGGGUUGUUAAGUCAGUGGUGAAAGUUUGCGGCUCAACCGUAAAAUUGCAAUUGAUACUGGCAGUCUUGAGUACAGUUGAGGUGGGCGGAAUUCGUGGUGUAGCGGUGAAAUGCUUAGAUAUCACGAAGAACUCCGAGUGCGAAGGCAGCUUACUAAGCUGCCACUGACAUUGAUGCUCGAAAGUGUGGGUAUCAAACAGGAUUAGAUACCCCUGUAGUC